UUUUAUAGCGAUGACGUCACCCAGCCCCCCACCUGUCUCCAAAUGGACCCAAAAUGGUACCGUUCGUUUGUGCUUCGUUUGUGCAGGUUUGUGCAGCAAAAAUUUUCGUUUGUGCUGCUUCCGUUUCGGAGAUAUUACACAUUUAUUUUAUAGCGAUGACGUCUGGUAGCCCCGCCCCCUUGUUUACUUCCAAACGACCCAAAAUAGUGCCGUUCGUUCGUUUGUGUUUCGUUUGUGCUGGUUUGUGCUGCAAAAAUGGUACCGAUUGUGCCGGCUGCUACGGUUUUGCAGAUAUUACACAUUUAAUUCAUAGCGAAGACGUCACCCAGCCCCACGUCACUGUAUUUUGUCGCGAAUUUCAAGCUCCUGGAAUGCUCCUCAUGCAGGACGAAUACAAGGUCAUUAUAGAUCUCCCAGGCAUAUGCAGUCCUCCUGCAGUAUGCCACAUAAUGCCCGAGAGAAUCCUGGGUCAGUCCUGGUUCAAAGCCAAUGACUGCUCUCAAAGUAAAGGUCUUCUCUUUUAGCUCCAGACUGGAGGGAAAUUCAAGCAAGGCAACUUCCUUGCAACUGCUACCAAGAGUUUUGAAUGAAGACGGACACCGGGAAGGAUUUUUGGCGUUCAGUGAAUCAUUCAAUUUGUCAUUUAUUUAAUACUAAUUUAUUUUCUAGAGAUGUCAUAUCCUUACUCCAUG
Syngnathus typhle (broad-nosed pipefish) is the source of this 692-nucleotide long non-coding RNA. RefSeq lists it as uncharacterized. The transcript has 3 exons. Lineage: Eukaryota; Metazoa; Chordata; Actinopteri; Syngnathiformes; Syngnathidae. The record is from RefSeq and is a predicted model, not a curated record.